CGGGCCGUAGCGCAGCCUGGUAGCGCACACCCUUGGGGUGGGUGUGGUCGCGAGUUCGAAUCUCGCCGGCCCGA
RNAcentral lists this transfer RNA (74 nucleotides) under Deltaproteobacteria bacterium. Its description in RNAcentral is "tRNA-Pro". It matches the Rfam family "tRNA". From Rfam's summary of the family: Transfer RNA (tRNA) molecules are approximately 80 nucleotides in length. Their secondary structure includes four short double-helical elements and three loops (D, anti-codon, and T loops). Further hydrogen bonds mediate the characteristic L-shaped molecular structure. tRNAs have two regions of fundamental functional importance: the anti-codon, which is responsible for specific mRNA codon recognition, and the 3' end, to which the tRNAs corresponding amino acid is attached (by aminoacyl-tRNA synthetases). tRNAs cope with the degeneracy of the genetic code in two manners: having more than one tRNA (with a specific anti-codon) for a particular amino acid; and 'wobble' base-pairing, i.e. permitting non-standard base-pairing at the 3rd anti-codon position. Lineage: Bacteria; Pseudomonadati; Myxococcota; Myxococcia. The record is from RNAcentral.